UNUCCGAGCCUUUGUUGACUUUGAUGG
This 27-nucleotide non-coding RNA is filed under the name Mus musculus (house mouse). Lineage: Eukaryota; Metazoa; Chordata; Mammalia; Rodentia; Muridae. The record is from RNAcentral.